Armigeres subalbatus is the source of this 492-nucleotide long non-coding RNA. RefSeq lists it as uncharacterized. Lineage: Eukaryota; Metazoa; Arthropoda; Insecta; Diptera; Culicidae. The record is from RefSeq and is a predicted model, not a curated record. The transcript has 2 exons.
CCGAGAUUUCCUUAUUAUGGCUGCGUGCGCAUUAAACGAUUGCACACACACCAAGGCACAGAAAAGAAACGAAACGUCAAACGAAAAAAAUCAUAACAACCGUCGGAACGAUCGGAACAAUUUCGCGGAUCGGAGUUCUUUUUCAUCUUUUGCGUGAGCUUGUUCGGCCGGAUCCUGGAUCAUCGGAACCGCUGUUCACAACCCUUUCUAAGGUGCAACAUGAUACUCCCGUCAGUUAUAAUAGGAUGUUACCGGGGCCACAAGAAGAAGGCAAUCAUCGAUAGCACCUUGAUAACAACAUCCAAGGGAAAAAAGUGGACGGAUGGUGGACAUUGUUGAAGGGUUGAGCGAGUUCCAGGAAGAACAAUGAUUACCUGUAGUAAGCCGAUACGUGAUCCGGUACUGAGUAUCCGGUAGAUAACCCCGAAAUAUGUUUCAUCUCUCGCCGUAUAAUUUUAUCAUAAAAAUAUAAAUUCGAAUUGUAAACUAAAA